UACAGAGGGCUCAAGCGUUGUUCGGAAUCACUGGGCGUAAAGGGUGCGUAGGUGGCGUGGUAAGUCAGAUGUGAAAGCCCGGGGCUCAACCUCGGAACUGCAUCCGAUACUACCAUGCUAGAGUACUGAAGAGGUGACUAGAAUUCUCGGUGUAGCAGUGAAAUGCGUAGAUAUCGAGAGGAAUACCAAAGGCGAAGGCAGGUCACUGGGCAGUUACUGACACUGAGGCACGAAGGCUAGGGGAGCAAACGGG
RNAcentral lists this ribosomal RNA (253 nucleotides) under uncultured bacterium. RNAcentral describes it as "partial 16S ribosomal RNA". It matches the Rfam family "Bacterial small subunit ribosomal RNA", at positions 524 to 776 of the family's 1533-position model. The record is from RNAcentral.